GACGAACGCUGGCGGCGUGCUUAACACAUGCAAGUCGAACGGAAAGGCCUGCUUUCCCUUGUGGAUUGCGGGUACUCGAGUGGCGAACGGGUGAGUAACACGUGAGUGAUCUGCCCCCAACUUGGGUAUAAGCCUGGGAAACUGGGUCUAAUUCCCGAUAGGACUGCAGGGUGGUGCCUGUGGUGGAAAACGAUUUUCUAGUGGUUGGGGAUGAGCUCGCGGCCUAUCAGCUUGUUGGUGGGGUAAUGGCCUACCAAGGCGGCGACGGGUAGCCGGCCUGGGAGGGUGGACGGCCACAUUGGGACGGAGAUACGGCCCAGACUCCUACGGGAGGCAGCAGUGGGGAAUAUUGCACAAGGGGCGGAAGCCUGAUGCAGCGACGCCGCGUGGGGGAUGACGGCCUUCGGGUUGUAAACUCCUUUCGACCGCGAGGAAGCCACCUGGUUGGAAGGGUGGUGACGGUAGUGGGAGAAGAAGCACCGGCUAACUACGUG
RNAcentral lists this ribosomal RNA (494 nucleotides) under uncultured bacterium. RNAcentral describes it as "partial 16S ribosomal RNA". It matches the Rfam family "Bacterial small subunit ribosomal RNA", at positions 28 to 507 of the family's 1533-position model. The record is from RNAcentral.